UACGUAGGGUGCAGGCGUUAAUCGGAAUUACUGGGCGUAAAGCGUGCGCAGGCGGUCUUUUAAGUCAGAUGUGAAAUCCCCGGGCUUAACCUGGGAACUGCGUUUGAAACUGGAAGGCUUGAGUGUGGCAGAGGAGGGUGGAAGUCCACGUGGAGCAGUGAAAUGCGUAGAGAUGAGGAGGAACACCGAUGGCGAAGGCAGACCCCUGGGCUAACACUGACGCUCAGGCACGAAAGCGUGGGGAGCAAACAGG
This 253-nucleotide ribosomal RNA is filed under the name uncultured bacterium. RNAcentral describes it as "partial 16S ribosomal RNA". It matches the Rfam family "Bacterial small subunit ribosomal RNA", at positions 524 to 776 of the family's 1533-position model. The record is from RNAcentral.